Molecule: ribosomal RNA, 750 nt
Filed under: uncultured organism
Description: bacterial SSU rRNA
Rfam family: Bacterial small subunit ribosomal RNA
Source: RNAcentral
GUGAGUAACGCGUAUUGCACCUGNCUUGCACAGAUGGAUAACACUGGGAAACUGGUGCNUAUACCCACAUAAAUCAUANCAGUGCAUCUUGAAAUGAUCCAAGGAGAAAUCCGGUGCAUGAUGGGCCUGCGUCCGAUUAGCUAGUUGGUGAGGUAACGGCUCACCAAUGCGACGAUCGGUAGCCGAACUGAGAUGUUGAUCGUGCACAUUGGGACUGAGACACGGNCCAGACUCCUACGGGAGGCAGCAGUGGGGAAUAUUGCGCAAUGGGGGAAACCCUGACGCAGCAACGCCGCGUGAAGGAAGAAGGGCUUCGGGUUGUAAACUUUUUUGAUUGGGGAAGAAAAAAAUGACGGUACCCAAUGAACAAGCCACGGCUAACUACGUGCCAGCAGCCGCGGUAAUACGUAGGUGGCGAGCGUUGUCCGGAAUUACUGGGUGUAAAGGGCGUGUAGGCGGGAUUGUAAGUCAGAUGUGAAAUUCCAGGGCUUAACUCUGGAGGUGCAUCUGAAACUAUAAUUCUUGAGUGCUGGAGAGGAAAGCGGAAUUCCUAGUGUAGCGGUGAAAUGCGUAGAUAUUAGGAAGAACACCAGUGGCGAAGGCGGCUUUCUUGGACAGUAACUGACGCUGAGGCGCGAAAGCGUGGGGAGCAAACAGGAUUAGAUACCCUGGUAGUCCACGCUGUAAACGAUGGAUACUAGGUGUAGGAAGUAUCGACCCCUUCUGUGCCGGAGUUAACACAAUAAGUAU